GGGCCAUAGCUCAGCAAUACAGCCUCUGCUUUGCAUUCAGAAGGUCCCAGGUUCAAUCCCUGUCAUCUCCA
Non-coding RNA from Podarcis lilfordi (Lilford's wall lizard), 71 nucleotides. The record is from the annotation of a GenBank genome assembly. NCBI's taxonomy places the organism in Eukaryota, Metazoa, Chordata, Lepidosauria, Squamata, Lacertidae.